Long non-coding RNA from Triticum aestivum (bread wheat), 826 nucleotides. RefSeq lists it as uncharacterized. The record is from RefSeq and is a predicted model, not a curated record. The transcript is spliced from 2 exons. Lineage: Eukaryota; Viridiplantae; Streptophyta; Magnoliopsida; Poales; Poaceae.
UCAUCAAAGCGUCCUGUCUUUUCCUCUUUCGCCUUCUAGCAAUUUUUCCCUUCCACGGACCACUCUCCCGCACCAUAAAAUUCUACAAGCACCAGUAUGUGCCCAUUAGGCCCGCUGCAUCUUGAUCCUUCUUCAUUCCCCACUCCUAUCUCGAUCCCUACAUCUUCAUCUCUCCGCGACCCUUUCUUCUCUAUCGACAGCUACCUUCGCCCUCACCUCAUGUCGCCCAUGGGUGCCUUGCCACAGAGGUAGUGGUUGCCUACGAUCUACAGCUGCAUCGUGCUAUCGACCUACGGCUGAAAAGCGGAUCUUGGGCGCACGGCCGCAGCCUGCCCGGAGAAGCCGAUGGCCGUGUUAUCUUCUCGCCAUCACCGGUGUGGAAGGUGGGAGGAGCCCGGGGCUCUAAAAGAUUGUCCACGCCCAAGAAUAAACCCUCUCCAGCGGUAGCGAUGCACUGGAGGAAGCAGUCGACGCAGGAGUCGCUCAACGAGGCGAGACCAGCUAUGGCGACCAGUGGAGCAGUACACAUUCCUUCCGUGCUGGCAGGGGGGUCCCCACGGCUGUCGCAACUGCGUCCCCAUACAAAGUGUCGUUACCGGUGCCAGCGUGAAGUUCAGGUUAUGCGUCCUGACCAUCGUCCCUGUGGACUCUCCAUUCCCCAUCACAAUCUUUUGUAGUAGUACUUCUCAUCGAGAUGUAAUUAUUGGUUAAAAAUGGUGUUUUGCAGUAUCGUACAUCAUGUUAAAACAAUAUCUUGAUUCUUCCUGAAAAGGGACACUAAAGUCACUGUAUUCUUUUGUCUAAUUUUAGCUGAUCUUGGAAGUGA